CCUACGGGAGGCUGCAGUGGGGAAUUUUGGACAAUGGGCGCAAGCCUGAUCCAGCUAUUCCGCGUGUGGGAAGACGGCCUUCGGGUUGUAAACCACUUUUGUAGAGAACGAAAAGUCUAUUGAUAAUACCGAUAGAUGAUGACGGUACUCUAAGAAUAAGCACCGGCUAACUACGUGCCAGCAGCCGCGGUAAUACGUAGGGUGCGAGCGUUAAUCGGAAUUACUGGGCGUAAAGGGUGUGCAGGCGGUUUUGCAAGAUGGAUGUGAAAGCCCCGGGCUUAACCUGGGAAAGACAUACAUGACUGCAAGACUAGAGUGCGUCAGAGGGGGGUGGAAUUCCAAGUGUAGCAGUGAAAUGCGUAGAUAUUUGGAAGAACACCGAUGGCGAAGGCAGCCCCCUGGGACGCAACUGACGCUCAUACACGAAAGCGUGGGGAGCAAACAGGAUUAGAUACCCCAGUAGUC
This 465-nucleotide ribosomal RNA is filed under the name uncultured bacterium. Its description in RNAcentral is "partial 16S ribosomal RNA". It matches the Rfam family "Bacterial small subunit ribosomal RNA", at positions 338 to 795 of the family's 1533-position model. The record is from RNAcentral.